RNAcentral lists this long non-coding RNA (307 nucleotides) under Olea europaea (common olive). RNAcentral's name for it is "long non-coding RNA (OEUR_LNC003740)". The record is from RNAcentral. Lineage: Eukaryota; Viridiplantae; Streptophyta; Magnoliopsida; Lamiales; Oleaceae.
GUUCAUAUCACAUGCAAUUGAAACAUAAUAUUGUCGGAUUUUGUCACGUUCAGUCGAAUAUCUGUAAAGGAGCAUUUCGAAGGGGUUUGGGUCCAUUUUUGCAAUUAAAUGGGUUGGGUUCGGUUAUAUUUACCCCAUUUUCUGUCCAGUUGGGUUGGGUUAUAGGUUAUCCCUUUAACCCAACCCGAAGCCGACCAACCCAACCCGUAUACAAAAGUUAAUUUUAAAAAUGUGUAGAAAUUAUAAAACGAGUAUAAGGUCCUUCCCUUUUCCCUGACCCUUCCCAUUCCCGUUUUCCAUUUCCCCC